Molecule: ribosomal RNA, 104 nt
Filed under: Cephalotus follicularis
Lineage: Eukaryota; Viridiplantae; Streptophyta; Magnoliopsida; Oxalidales; Cephalotaceae
Source: RNAcentral
AGGUAUGAUCAUACCAGCACCAAUGCACUGGAUCCCAUCAGAACUCCGAAAUUAAGCGUGCUUGGGCGAGAGUAUUGCUAAGAUGGGCUUUGUCACAAGACUUU